Molecule: long non-coding RNA, 1258 nt
Organism: Carassius auratus (goldfish)
Lineage: Eukaryota; Metazoa; Chordata; Actinopteri; Cypriniformes; Cyprinidae
Exons: 5
Source: RefSeq, a predicted model, not a curated record
GUAAAUGCAAACAUGCUAUUUAAUUAAAAAUAUUAAUUUGACUUUAAUCAGUUUUUAUCAACCUGCUAUUUACACUUGCUUUUAGUAAGUUACUUGUACUUUGAGGUUGAAAAAUCUUACCAGCUCAGUUUACUUGAGUUAGAUUAAUUUAGAAAAAGUAAGUUCAUGAUCUGUGGGCAUGCGCAGAUCAGUCCUCUCUACGCUAGACGGCGAUAUUUGUUCACCACUAUGGCCCCGCCCUUCAAUAGCUACUAUUGGCCAGGCGUCCAUGCUUACGUACCUGAUUUGUACAGGUCUUAUCCCCUGACUAACCUUAACCAAUCCAGGUGAAAUGCCUAACCCCAACCAAUCAAGCUGCUUCGUAGGGCGGGUCUUGGCGUGGCGGGAUUCGUAAUUUUGCAGACAUGUCACAUCUUGCCUGCAACUGAACUGACCAGGUGGAGCUGGACCUAAACAUCGCUUCAACUGGGCUUUUGUUUAUCUUCAUCAUAACAGCGAUUCUUAUGCUUGGCACACUCAUUUGGCUCAAGCAGAUGGUGAUCAAUCCACACAUAGGUAGUCCCAGCAGUAAAAGAUACUGUGGGUUCGACUUAUAGCCCAUCAAGAUGAUUACUUCAGCAGUGUUGCACAAGCACUGAUCAGAAAAUACCCCUGCCUCGCUGAGCCUGGACCACACAAAUGGUAUGGCUGGAUAAACAGCCUUAAAUUUAAGAUGGCCAAUUAUCGCACAAAGCUUCGAAAAGCUGGAUGUGAGGAUGUAGCAAUCCUGGUUGAAAAUGGUUGAACGAUGGCCAGCACUCUUCACAGAGAGACAGGUGUUUGCUGAGUUUAAUAGAAUCGCCAGUAAGAAUCUUGAGGGAGACUUUUUUGAGGCUCAGGACCAGUACGCACCACGUUUCAUCGAACUCUUCAAAACAAAGAAGGGAACUGUUGGCCAGAAACUCAGGGAGCUGAUUCAGCACAUAAGCUGUAAGACACCAGACGUGACAGUACUUCACUCUGUUGGCAUUCCCAUUUUACUCUGUGAUGAAUCCAGUGAAUUCUAUAAGACCUGCUAUGUAAGUACUUGCACAUAAGAAAAAGUUUGUCUGCAUGAAUAUAAAACUAUACCUGUGUUGACAUCGAAUAUGUAAUUCUAUCCGCUCGAUAUACAAUAUACAUUUUGUACAGUGACUGAUGUAUUUUGUAUAGCAAUACCUCUACAACUAAUCUGAGAGAUAUGUAAACAGCCAGUAAAUAAAAAUAAAAUUUUCCACAU